This 43-nucleotide ribosomal RNA is filed under the name Bos taurus (domestic cattle). Its description in RNAcentral is "partial 16S ribosomal RNA". Lineage: Eukaryota; Metazoa; Chordata; Mammalia; Artiodactyla; Bovidae. The record is from RNAcentral.
ACUAGACCUAGCCCAAAGAUACCCUCUCGACUAAACAACCAAG